RNAcentral lists this ribosomal RNA (374 nucleotides) under uncultured prokaryote. Its description in RNAcentral is "bacterial SSU rRNA". It matches the Rfam family "Bacterial small subunit ribosomal RNA", at positions 524 to 896 of the family's 1533-position model. The record is from RNAcentral.
UACGGAGGGUGCAAGCGUUAAUCGGAAUUACUGGGCGUAAAGGGUUUGUAGGUGGUUAGAUAAGUUAUCUGUGAAAGCCCCGGGCUCAACCUGGGAAGGUCAGAUAAGACUGUUUGACUCGAGUAUAGGAGAGGGUAGUGGAAUUUCCGGUGUAGCGGUGAAAUGCGUAGAGAUCGGAAGGAACACCAGUGGCGAAGGCGGCUACCUGGCCAGAUACUGACACUGAAAAACGAAAGCGUGGGGAGCAAACAGGAUUAGAUACCCUGGUAGUCCACGCCGUAAACGAUGUCAACUAGUUGUUGGUGAUAUGAAUAUCAUUAGUGACGAAGCUAACGCGAUAAGUUGACCGCCUGGGGAGUACGGUCGCAAGAUUA